CCCCAGUAGAACCACCUGUGCUGCUACCAGCACCACCAUAUGCCCCUAAACCUGAAACACCCCCUCCUACACUAUCUAACACCCCACCAUAUCCUGCUGCCAUCCCCAUUCCACCACCCAUUUGCUGGCCGAAACCACCAACUCCUGCAAAUGGAUUCCCAUAUGCUCCAUAAGGAUUAGCAAGUGCUCCACCAUAAAACGGAUUCAUCAUUGGCACAUCCGUGUUCUGACCCAACAUCCCCAUACUGUGACCAGCAGCAACUGGAGCAUACACGCCUUGCCCUGGUGGCAUUGCCAGCAGCGGCUGUUGUACAGCCUCCGUGGUGAUACUAGCCGCUCCACCACCAAUUUUCCCCUCAGCCGCCUUCUUACAAUGCAAUUGCCUCCCCUCAAAAAUCUUAGAGGGUUUUUCCAGACAUUUCUUGGCCGCCUCCACGGUUUUGUACACAAACAAAGCAUACCCU
Molecule: unclassified non-coding RNA, 464 nt
Filed under: Hevea brasiliensis (rubber tree)
Lineage: Eukaryota; Viridiplantae; Streptophyta; Magnoliopsida; Malpighiales; Euphorbiaceae
Source: RNAcentral